Non-coding RNA from Oncorhynchus mykiss (rainbow trout), 1951 nucleotides. NCBI's taxonomy places the organism in Eukaryota, Metazoa, Chordata, Actinopteri, Salmoniformes, Salmonidae. The record is from RefSeq and is a predicted model, not a curated record.
CUAGAUUACAAACGGUUUUGAAGAUGUUUGGAAUAGCUAGCUAGCGAUUCGCAAAUAAGGACCUUACUAACAAAUAUAUUUAGCUAACCCUAUUAAUCUAAAUGUCGUUUAAAAGAGAGGGCAAUGAUCAGAGUCAAUCGAAUAUCCUCAAGGCGAGCCAUUUUAUUAGUUGUUACUUACACAGAAAUCAAUUUGUACUUUAGCUUGCUAGCUACAUGCGAAACGGGCACGUUUGUCAUUUUAACAAGCUAGUUAGUUAACGUAGCUAGCUAACGUUAAUUGUUUAUUUCCCAGAAACGGCGUGUUGCAGAACUCCUGUCCAAUUUCAUUCCAGAGGAUGAGGUAGCCUUGAUGAAAAAUGAAAGGUGAAGUACCUGCUGUGCCGAAAAUCACCCCCUGAUAGAACACCUAAACAUGAUAUUGUUUAGGACCUUGAGCGUGGCUGAGGUGCACUCAUGACCAGCUCGGAAACCAGAUUGCAUAGUGAAGAAGCAGGAAGCUAUAUCAAAACCAUCCGUGAAGGCUGAAUGUGCCUACACUAAUCCUUUCUGUGCCAGGGAUGAAGUGGUUUUAUGGAAAGAAAACUCAACUGAAAAAUGAGAUAUCUUAACGAAACCAUGAAAACCAUGUUCAAGCUGAAGAUAGCCGACAGGAACCCUCUAGUUCUGCCCCCCUGUUGACACAGACAUGUAAACUCACCCACCACACCUUACUGAAGACUGUAAUAUAUUUAUUUGGCACAAAAAGACCAGUGACAUCAGCCCCUCCAGCACAAGACUAUCAUCACCACAUCAAACGUCAGUGGAGACAAUGAUAAGACAUCAUGUCAUUACCCAGUUCCAACAGUAAUACACCAGUCAAUCAGGGAUCGUGUCUAAUUGGGAGAAAUAAGGAAGUGUGUAAGAAGGAGUCAGCCAACGGCGACACAGGAGUCGGAACCUAUAUGACAGCUCAAAGGAGGAGCAUUACCUUAAAUUGAAAAGUGCGGGACGGCUGCAGGACAGGAGUGACCCGUGGGUAAAGGAUGAGAAUGUGGAAUUUGAUUCAGAUGAAGAGGAACCCUCAUCCCUCCCAUCCUCCCACUGACUCAGAGGGCUGACCAGAUGAGCAGCAGGGACCAGACCUCAACACCAGCACCUUCCCACAAUCCCUAGCCCUUUCCUCAAACCCUGCUGCUGACACAAAGGUCCCAUUUGGACAUACAUCUGUUGACUCAACAAUUAUGAAUGGCACUCUGUUGCAGUAAUGACAACACUAUAAGAGCAGCACUAGAACAUCUUGAACUGCCUCCAUGCUUCCUUUGUUUACUCUUAUCUCAGGGUAGACACAUUGGUGCUUGAGACAAUGCUUUGACUGUUGUCACCCUGCGAGGGAUGGGAAGGGGGACGAUUCUCAGCACCCUUUGUGUUAUUCCGUUCACCCAUUUUAUUUAGGUCCAACACCUCCCCUGUUAAGGCUAAGCUGUGAUCUUACCAUAAAUCAUCAGCAGAUAGGACAAUAUUACUGCUAAUCUUGGUAGUGUAACCACCGGUUAACAUUCUUCAGAAGGUUCUCAUUUGUGGCUCACCCCUAGACCACUCUAUAUAUUGGAUAACCCCCCUCCCUACAGAAAGCCAGCGUGCGGACUUAACGUGGGUUAGUUUAAAACGAUGACGUUAAAAUGUGGCAAUCUGAGUAACUGAUUAUUAUUUGUGAGCUCAUUGCGUGACUGCCACAAGGCGUUUGGAAUGUUUGUUGACUGCAUCGACACAGGAGCUCAACUGUCUUUAUGUGUCAUCAAGGCUGAUGAUGUUAUGGAGUUAAAUUGUCAAUGCAAUAAGUAAUGUUGACUCUAUCAUGUUACUUGUACUUUCAGAUGACUAAACAAAGCAAUUGUCCUCCACUGCUAACAAUGUCUGUUUGAAUAACCCAGAUACAAGGGAGUAAAAUAAAGCACCACUUAACUUAGAAC